RNAcentral lists this ribosomal RNA (222 nucleotides) under uncultured bacterium. RNAcentral describes it as "partial 16S ribosomal RNA". It matches the Rfam family "Bacterial small subunit ribosomal RNA", at positions 109 to 334 of the family's 1533-position model. The record is from RNAcentral.
AGUAAUGCUUGGGAAUCUGGCUUAUGGAGGGGGAUAACUACGGGAAACUGUAGCUAAUACCGCGUAGAAUCGGAAGAUGAAAGUGCGGGACCGCAAGGUCGCAUGCCAUGAGAUGAGCCCAAGUGGGAUUAGGUAGUUGGUGGGGUAAAGGCCUACCAAGCCUGCGAUCUCUAGCUGGUCUGAGAGGAUGGCCAGCCACACUGGAACUGAGACACGGUCCAG